Molecule: unclassified non-coding RNA, 209 nt
Filed under: fungal sp.
Lineage: Eukaryota; Fungi
Description: partial contains small subunit ribosomal RNA, internal transcribed spacer 1, and 5.8S ribosomal RNA
Rfam family: Eukaryotic small subunit ribosomal RNA (bases 1-47)
Source: RNAcentral
AAAGUCGUAACAAGGUUGCUGUAGGUGAACCUGCAGCAGGAUCAUUACGUGUAGGGGCUUCGGCCCUGAAGAUACCACCCUUUGUCUUUUGUACUCUUGUUUCCUCGGCGGCUACCGCCGCCAAUGGGGACUCCUACACCCUUCGUAAGCAGUCUUGUCUGAUACAAAUACAAUAAUCAAAACUUUCAACAACGGAUCUCUUGGUUCUG